This 390-nucleotide ribosomal RNA is filed under the name uncultured bacterium. RNAcentral's name for it is "bacterial SSU rRNA". It matches the Rfam family "Bacterial small subunit ribosomal RNA", at positions 28 to 417 of the family's 1533-position model. The record is from RNAcentral.
AUUGAACGCUGGCGGCAUGCUUUACACAUGCAAGUCGAGCGGCAGCGCGGGGGGCAACCCUGGCGGCGAGCGGCGAACGGGUGAGUAAUGCAUCGGAACGUACCCUGGAGUGGGGGAUAACGCCGCGAAAGCGGCGCUAAUACCGCAUAUGCUCUGAGGAGGAAAGUGGGGGGACCGCAAGGCCUCACGCUCUGGGAGCGGCCGAUGUCCGAUUAGCUAGUUGGUGGGGUAAAGGCUUACCAAGGCGACGAUCGGUAGCUGGUCUGAGAGGAUGAUCAGCCACACUGGGACUGAGACACGGCCCAGACUCCUACGGGAGGCAGCAGUGGGGGAAUUUUGGACAAUGGGCGGAAGCCUGAUCCAGCCAUGCCGCGUGAGUGAAGAAGGCCU